GGGUUGUGAGGUUAAGCGACUAAGCGUACACGGUGGAUGCCCUGGCAGUCAGAGGCGAUGAAGGACGUGCUAAUCUGCGAUAAGCGUCGGUAAGGUGAUAUGAACCGUUAUAACCGGCGAUUUCCGAAUGGGGAAACCCAGUGUGAUUCGUCACACUAUCAUUAACUGAAUCCAUAGGUUAAUGAGGCGAACCGGGGGAACUGAAACAUCUAAGUACCCCGAGGAAAAGAAAUCAACCGAGAUUCCCCCAGUAGCGGCGAGCGAACGGGGAGGAGCCCAGAGCCUGAAUCAGUGUGUGUGUUAGUGGAAGCGUCUGGAAAGGCGCGCGAUACAGGGUGACAGCCCCGUACACAAAAAUGCACAUGCUGUGAGCUCGAUGAGUAGGGCGGGACACGUGGUAUCCUGUCUGAAUAUGGGGGGACCAUCCUCCAAGGCUAAAUACUCCUGACUGACCGAUAGUGAACCAGUACCGUGAGGGAAAGGCGAAAAGAACCCCGGCGAGGGGAGUGAAAAAGAACCUGAAACCGUGUACGUACAAGCAGUGGGAGCCUCUUAAUGGGGUGACUGCGUACCUUUUGUAUAAUGGGUCAGCGACUUAUAUUCUGUAGCAAGGUUAACCGAAUAGGGGAGCCGAAGGGAAACCGAGUCUUAACUGGGCGUUAAGUUGCAGGGUAUAGACCCGAAACCCGGUGAUCUAGCCAUGGGCAGGUUGAAGGUUGGGUAACACUAACUGGAGGACCGAACCGACUAAUGUUGAAAAAUUAGCGGAUGACUUGUGGCUGGGGGUGAAAGGCCAAUCAAACCGGGAGAUAGCUGGUUCUCCCCGAAAGCUAUUUAGGUAGCGCCUCGUGAAUUCAUCUCCGGGGGUAGAGCACUGUUUCGGCAAGGGGGUCAUCCCGACUUACCAACCCGAUGCAAACUGCGAAUACCGGAGAAUGUUAUCACGGGAGACACACGGCGGGUGCUAACGUCCGUCGUGAAGAGGGAAACAACCCAGACCGCCAGCUAAGGUCCCAAAGUCAUGGUUAAGUGGGAAACGAUGUGGGAAGGCCCAGACAGCCAGGAUGUUGGCUUAGAAGCAGCCAUCAUUUAAAGAAAGCGUAAUAGCUCACUGGUCGAGUCGGCCUGCGCGGAAGAUGUAACGGGGCUAAACCAUGCACCGAAGCUGCGGCAGCGACACUAUGUGUUGUUGGGUAGGGGAGCGUUCUGUAAGCCUGUGAAGGUGGCCUGUGAGGGUUGCUGGAGGUAUCAGAAGUGCGAAUGCUGACAUAAGUAACGAUAAAGCGGGUGAAAAGCCCGCUCGCCGGAAGACCAAGGGUUCCUGUCCAACGUUAAUCGGGGCAGGGUGAGUCGACCCCUAAGGCGAGGCCGAAAGGCGUAGUCGAUGGGAAACAGGUUAAUAUUCCUGUACUUGGUGUUACUGCGAAGGGGGGACGGAGAAGGCUAUGUUGGCCGGGCGACGGUUGUCCCGGUUUAAGCGUGUAGGCUGGUUUUCCAGGCAAAUCCGGAAAACCAAGGCUGAGGCGUGAUGACGAGGCACUACGGUGCUGAAGCGACAAAUGCCCUGCUUCCAGGAAAAGCCUCUAAGCAUCAGGUAACAUCAAAUCGUACCCCAAACCGACACAGGUGGUCAGGUAGAGAAUACCAAGGCGCUUGAGAGAACUCGGGUGAAGGAACUAGGCAAAAUGGUGCCGUAACUUCGGGAGAAGGCACGCUGAUAUGUAGGUGAAGCGACUUGCUCGUGGAGCUGAAAUCAGUCGAAGAUACCAGCUGGCUGCAACUGUUUAUUAAAAACACAGCACUGUGCAAACACGAAAGUGGACGUAUACGGUGUGACGCCUGCCCGGUGCCGGAAGGUUAAUUGAUGGGGUUAGCGGUAACGCGAAGCUCUUGAUCGAAGCCCCGGUAAACGGCGGCCGUAACUAUAACGGUCCUAAGGUAGCGAAAUUCCUUGUCGGGUAAGUUCCGACCUGCACGAAUGGCGUAAUGAUGGCCAGGCUGUCUCCACCCGAGACUCAGUGAAAUUGAACUCGCUGUGAAGAUGCAGUGUACCCGCGGCAAGACGGAAAGACCCCGUGAACCUUUACUAUAGCUUGACACUGAACAUUGAGCCUUGAUGUGUAGGAUAGGUGGGAGGCUUUGAAGUGUGGACGCCAGUCUGCAUGGAGCCGACCUUGAAAUACCACCCUUUAAUGUUUGAUGUUCUAACGUUGGCCCCUAAUCGGGGUUGCGGACAGUGUCUGGUGGGUAGUUUGACUGGGGCGGUCUCCUCCUAAAGAGUAACGGAGGAGCACGAAGGUUGGCUAAUCCUGGUCGGACAUCAGGAGGUUAGUGCAAUGGCAUAAGCCAGCUUGACUGCGAGCGUGACGGCGCGAGCAGGUGCGAAAGCAGGUCAUAGUGAUCCGGUGGUUCUGAAUGGAAGGGCCAUCGCUCAACGGAUAAAAGGUACUCCGGGGAUAACAGGCUGAUACCGCCCAAGAGUUCAUAUCGACGGCGGUGUUUGGCACCUCGAUGUCGGCUCAUCACAUCCUGGGGCUGAAGUAGGUCCCAAGGGUAUGGCUGUUCGCCAUUUAAAGUGGUACGCGAGCUGGGUUUAGAACGUCGUGAGACAGUUCGGUCCCUAUCUGCCGUGGGCGCUGGAGAACUGAGGGGGGCUGCUCCUAGUACGAGAGGACCGGAGUGGACGCAUCACUGGUGUUCGGGUUGUCAUGCCAAUGGCACUGCCCGGUAGCUAAAUGCGGAAGAGAUAAGUGCUGAAAGCAUCUAAGCACGAAACUUGCCCCGAGAUGAGUUCUCCCUGAGACUUAGAGUCUCCUGAAGGAACGUUGAAGACGACGACGUUGAUAGGCCGGGUGUGUAAGCGCAGCGAUGCGUUGAGCUAACCGGUACUAAUGAACCGUGAGGCUUAACCUUACAACGCCGAAG
Molecule: ribosomal RNA, 2925 nt
Filed under: Escherichia coli
Lineage: Bacteria; Pseudomonadati; Pseudomonadota; Gammaproteobacteria; Enterobacterales; Enterobacteriaceae
Description: bacterial LSU rRNA
Rfam family: Bacterial large subunit ribosomal RNA
Source: RNAcentral